Molecule: ribosomal RNA, 921 nt
Filed under: Fusarium oxysporum
Lineage: Eukaryota; Fungi; Ascomycota; Sordariomycetes; Hypocreales; Nectriaceae
Description: partial large subunit ribosomal RNA
Rfam family: Eukaryotic large subunit ribosomal RNA
Source: RNAcentral
GGCGGGGAGGGAAAGAACCAACAGGGUAUUGCCCUAGUAACGGCGAGUGAAGCGGCAACAGCUCAAAUUUGAAAUCUGGCUCUCGGGCCCGAGUUGUAAUUUGUAGAGGAUACUUUUGAUGCGGUGCCUUCCGAGUUCCCUGGAACGGGACGCCAUAGAGGGUGAGAGCCCCGUCUGGUUGGAUGCCAAAUCUCUGUAAAGUUCCUUCAACGAGUCGAGUAGUUUGGGAAUGCUGCUCUAAAUGGGAGGUAUAUGUCUUCUAAAGCUAAAUACCGGCCAGAGACCGAUAGCGCACAAGUAGAGUGAUCGAAAGAUGAAAAGCACUUUGAAAAGAGAGUUAAAAAGUACGUGAAAUUGUUGAAAGGGAAGCGUUUAUGACCAGACUUGGGCUUGGUUAAUCAUCUGGGGUUCUCCCCAGUGCACUUUUCCAGUCCAGGCCAGCAUCAGUUUUCCCCGGGGGAUAAAGGCGGCGGGAAUGUGGCUCUCUUCGGGGAGUGUUAUAGCCCACCGUGUAAUACCCUGGUGGGGGACUGAGGUUCGCGCAUCUGCAAGGAUGCUGGCGUAAUGGUCAUCAACGACCCGUCUUGAAACACGGACCAAGGAGUCGUCUUCGUAUGCGAGUGUUCGGGUGUCAAACCCCCUACGCGUAAUGAAAGUGAACGCAGGUGAGAGCUUCGGCGCAUCAUCGACCGAUCCUGAUGUUUCUCGGAUGGAUUUGAGUAAGAGCAUACGGGGGCCGGACCCGAAAGAAGGUGAACUAUGCCCUGUAGUAGGGUGAAGCCAGAGGAUACUCUGGGUGUAGGGCUCGCAGCGGCUUCUGACGUGCCAAUCGAUCGUUCCAAAUAUGGGCAUGGGGGGCGAACGGAACGUAUCCGCUGCAUCUAGCUAGCGUGUUCCGUCCGAGUACCCCUGCAGGUAAGA